Anthonomus grandis grandis is the source of this 508-nucleotide long non-coding RNA. RefSeq lists it as uncharacterized. NCBI's taxonomy places the organism in Eukaryota, Metazoa, Arthropoda, Insecta, Coleoptera, Curculionidae. The record is from RefSeq and is a predicted model, not a curated record. The transcript has 3 exons.
UUAGUACAUAACAACAAUUUCGUUAACAAUAGCAACAUGAAAUUCGUAAUUUUUUCCUUUUUGAUUUGUAUAAUCGUAACUGUUAAUGGAAGUCAUAAAAAGACAAUGUGUCCCACGCCAUCUGACGACGAACCAGUAAUCAACUGUUUGUUGUGUCUUCAAGAUUGUCCGCAGAAUCAAACUUUAGUUAUUGACCCAUGUAAUUGUUGUUUUAACAAAUGUGUACCACAAACGUGUCCAUCCGACGUAUGUAGCAACUGUCCACUCGUAAACUGUAUAAGUGGCUCGAUAUUAGUUCCAAAUAGAUUUUGCGGUUGUUGCCCCAGCUGCGUUAUACCCAAACGUGGAGAUCCUUGCUACCCUACAACAUACGACUCCCUUCUCACAUGCGGGGAAAACCUUGUGUGCUCCAACGGCAUAUGCCAAACUCCAAUUUGAGAAAUAAAUUAAAUAUCAGAUUAAUUCAACUAGUAAACAAUUACUUUAUUCUAAUAAAAUGAACAUUUUA